This 2976-nucleotide long non-coding RNA is filed under the name Amborella trichopoda. RNAcentral describes it as "long non-coding RNA (ATRI_LNC003536)". The record is from RNAcentral. Lineage: Eukaryota; Viridiplantae; Streptophyta; Magnoliopsida; Amborellales; Amborellaceae.
UUUAAUCUUUUACAGAUGGUGAGGAAAUAUCAAGACCAUCAAUCAGACGUGACCCAUCAUUGAUGCCAUCCAAUCAAGUACCUAAUUUAUCCAUGCACCCACCCUGCUGAACUUCAUUCACAUUUCAAUUAAUGAAACUCUCAGAGCCUGUGGCCGGUCCACAAAUAUUCUCAUAUGAAUACAUAUCGCUGCCGAUUUUGACGAUUGUUGCUCAAGGAACCAAUCUCCUCAAGGGUGUAUUGAAGUUGAACAAGGGAAGCUUUAGACCCUCAACUUAUUCAACAAAAUAGUUUCAUUUACACUGAUAGGGUGAGGAAGCAAAUCAUAAAACCAUGACCACAAGAAGCAACAAGAAUUGAAUAAUGAAAAGAAAGCCAAUGUCCUGAGCAGGAGAGAGCAAGAAUUAGGACAUGGCAGGUAAUACUCGAUCUUUGAAACUUCCUUGCCCAACACUAUUCAAGGGGCUGCUGCUGUUGGCUGACUAUCUUCACCUGCUCGAGUACGUUUGAAGUAAAAAACCAACCCCGGCUACGCCUCGUCCCUUCGCAAGGUGCUCCAACUCCUCAAUUUUGUGCUUGAGAAGCUCUACUUCCUUUGCUAAAAUCCCCAUCCCUUUGUCUCAAUGUCUACGAAGUUAGCAAAAGAUUUGCACACAGAGAUGUUGAAUAACAUUAAUGGCUUUCAAGAUGUUAGUCAAAUUCACCAUAAAUUCCAUUGCAUCACCUCUCUUUCAUGUGCUAAACAUGGACGUAAACAAGAAUGCAAGGAACUUCACUCUAGUAAGAACUAAAUAGCAGUAAGCGCAGGAAGGGAAAGCAUUUCCAUAGAGGUUUUCUGCUAUUGAAGCUUAGACGUGGACAAGUAACAGCAAGAAGGUAAAGCAUUUCCAGAGAAGUUUUCGGCUAUUGAAGCUUAGACGUGGACAAGUAACACCAAGAACACAAGAAAUUUCACAAUAAUAAGCCAUGAAUAGUACUAAUAUUGUUUUUUUGGUGAGCCAUAAUAGCAAUGAUAAAAGGGAAGCAUUUUUCCGACGAAUGCAUUUUUCUUGUUCUAUUAGCUAGUAGAAUAUACUUUUAAGAAAUAAUAAAUAAAUAUGAUAAAUAAUAUAUUUAUUUUAAAGCCCUAUUCUUUGUAUUCAUAAAUGUUUGUACAUGGAAAAAGAUUUGAUGAUGUUGUAAACCUAUUUUUUCUCUUUCUGACGAAUCCUCUUUCUCAGUAGUAAAAUUUGGAAAGAGAAAAAUCUGUACUGUAAUCUCCAUGAGGCACUAAAUACAGACUAAGGAUGUACAAGAAUUUUGGGAAGUUCAAAUAGUUGGUGCUAUAACGAGUUUAAACUGUCCAGCACAUAACGGUUCGUUUUAUAACCGUCACGGCGAAGAUGGAGAUGUUCGAAAUGGCCAUUAUAUCCUCCAUGCUAAGUCCAAGCUAAAAGACUUUAAACUGUCUAGCACAUGACGGUUUGUUUAAAACUGCAGGGUCAAGGUAUGGACGUUUGAGGUAGCCGCAAUACGCCACCAACACCCAUACUUGACUGACCCCUUUCAUAUAUAGUCCACGCCUCAAGACUCUAAACUCAUUGGUGCAUACUCCAUAGCACAUCACUAUAAAUUGCUUGUUACUGGCAACAUAUAUAGCCACCUGGUAUGAAUUUCCAAAAUCUUGAUUUCCCCUAAAUCCACACUCACUUUCAAACAAUUACAGCAAUGCAUUUUUCUUGUUCUAUUUGUGCAUCUGUUUGCUACAGAAAAGUCUCUUCGCUUAGUCUUUCAUUUUGCAUCAAUUAUAUUUUCCAUCAAUUUAUAACCUGAACUUUUUUGGCACGUUAUCUCAGUCUGGUUUUGCUGCAGACCAUAACAUAUGUCCUGACAGGAGAUUUAGUUACAGAUAUGAGGCUCAAAAGAGAAACAACUAAACAUAUUUGGCUUUUGAGAUUGGAAUAUCUUUGGAUGACUUUCCUGUUGAUCUAUUUUAAGUUGAAGGGCAGCUAAGCUUGAGAUACCUCCUCAAGACCAUAGUUAUCAAUGGAAAAACACAGUUCUACAUGUGCCGUAUUUCUUUAUUGAGUUCUAUAACAUAUAUAAACACAUAAACAAUCAAAUGCACCCAAAAAAUAAAAGCUUCUGAAAGAACUUAUUCUGCUACGGAAAAUGCUAAAAAAUGGAAACUUGUCAGAAUUUGUACUUUGCUCAUGCUGACUGACACAAACAGACAUGUGCAACAAGUGCUCUCACAAUAGUUACUUAAAAUAAGAUCUCCUUGGCAAGAGAUUCUCAUAAAUAUAUCGUAAAAAUACAUGAAUGAAUAUGGAAAAAGAAAGCAAUGGCAAUUGCACCAAAGGGAAGAAUUUAAUGAACUAACCUCCUGCUCCAUCUUUCGUGUUUGUUCCUUCCAUCAACCUGCAGUGGCUCAAGCUCUAGAGGAGGAUGAGAGAAAGGAUGGCUAUGGCUUCCAUAGAGAGUAACACCCCAUAUUUGUUAGUGUGCCAGCAAGCUUUAGGCGUGUUUUAAUUGUUGAAGUUCGGCUCCACAUGGAAAUUAGUGUGAAAAAGAGAGAGAGAGAGAGAGAGAGAGAGAGAAAUUGAAAUUAAGAAUUGUAACAAUUACACAUUUACAAGUAUAAUAAUUAACUCAAGAAAUAAUAGAACAUACAAAAUAAUCACCUCAAGAGAUCAAUUACAAAUCUACAACUCUAAUAAUCAGACAACGGUAAUUGAACUUAACAACAACAAACUCAAGACAAUGCAGUCCCUCAACAAACUCAACAGACCCAUUCAAGAUGUCUUGGGGAUCACCAAACCGUGUUGUUGUCAUGGGAGAGACUUAUAUUGCAGGGAGUUUUGAGGUCUUCUCUUUCAUGGCGGUAGGCUUGGUCGAGGGAGACCCCUCUUCUUACUAAAUUUCCCUAGUUCUUUCUCACCACCAUAAAAAUGGCAAGAAGAAGGAGUGGGUUUGUAGCGUAAAUAAUCACCACUAC